This 405-nucleotide unclassified non-coding RNA is filed under the name soil metagenome. RNAcentral describes it as "partial contains 5.8S ribosomal RNA, internal transcribed spacer 2, and large subunit ribosomal RNA". The stretch from base 1 to 121 matches the Rfam family "5.8S ribosomal RNA", at positions 35 to 154 of the family's 154-position model. The record is from RNAcentral.
GAUGAAGAACGCAGUGAAAUGCGAUAAGUAAUGUGAAUUGCAGAAUUCAGUGAAUCAUCGAAUCUUUGAACGCACCUUGCGCCCUUUGGACAUUCCGAAGGGCAUGCCUGUUUGAGUAUCAUGAACACCUCAACUCUCACGGCUUGUCCGUGAUGAGCUUGGACUUUGGGGGUCUUGCCGGCCUGUGGUCGGCUCCUCUCAAAUGGAUCAGCUUGCCAGUGUUUGGUGGCAUCACAGGUGUGAUAACUAUCUGCGCUUGUGGUUUUCCAUCAGAUAACCUUCAGUGAUAUGGAGGUUCGCUGGAGCUCACAAAUGUCUCUCCUUAGUGAGGACAGCUCUUUGAACGUUUGAUCUCAAAUCAGGUAGGACUACCCGCUGAACUUAAGCAUACCAAUAAGCGGAGGA